This 768-nucleotide ribosomal RNA is filed under the name uncultured Bacillota bacterium. RNAcentral's name for it is "bacterial SSU rRNA". It matches the Rfam family "Bacterial small subunit ribosomal RNA", at positions 563 to 1331 of the family's 1533-position model. The record is from RNAcentral. Lineage: Bacteria; Bacillati; Bacillota.
AAGGGAGCGCAGGCGGUUGAAAUAGUCUGAUGUGAAAGCCCACGGCUUAACCGUGGAAGGUCAUUGGAAACUGUUCAACUUGAAUACAGAAGAGGUAAGUGGAAUUCCAAGUGUAGCGGUGAAAUGCGUAGAUAUUUGGAGGAACACCAGUGGCGAAGGCGACUUACUGGUCUGUAAUUGACGCUGAGGCUCGAAAGCGUGGGUAGCAAACAGGAUUAGAUACCCUGGUAGUCCACGCCGUAAACGAUGAGUGCUAAGUGUUAGGGGGUUUCCGCCCCUUAGUGCUGGAGUUAACGCAUUAAGCACUCCGCCUGGGGAGUACGGCCGCAAGGCUGAAACUCAAAGGAAUUGACGGGGACCCGCACAAGCGGUGGAGCAUGUGGUUUAAUUCGACGCAACGCGAAGAACCUUACCAACUCUUGACAUCUUCUGAUCACCCUAGAGAUAGGGCUUUCCCUUCGGGGACAGAAUGACAGGUGGUGCAUGGUUGUCGUCAGCUCGUGUCGUGAGAUGUUGGGUUAAGUCCCAUAACGAGCGCAACCCUUAUUGUUAGUUGCCAGCAUUCAGUUGGGCACUCUAGCGAGACUGCCGGUGAUAAACCGGAGGAAGGUGGGGAUGACGUCAAAUCAUCAUGCCCCUUAUGAGUUGGGCUACACACGUGCUACAAUGGACGGUACAACGAGUAGCGAUCCCGCAAGGGUUAGCGAAUCUUAAUAAGCCGUUCUCAGUUCGGAUUGUUCUCUGCAACUCGAGAGCAUGAAGCCGGAA